This 424-nucleotide long non-coding RNA is filed under the name Ananas comosus (pineapple). RNAcentral describes it as "long non-coding RNA (ACOM_LNC032902)". Lineage: Eukaryota; Viridiplantae; Streptophyta; Magnoliopsida; Poales; Bromeliaceae. The record is from RNAcentral.
UUAAAACAUAAAUUUAGAAUUUGAAUAUUUUAAAUUUAAAAUUUGAUAUUCAAGAAUUAAAAUGUGAAAUUAACUAAAGUGAGAAUUUUAAAAUUAAAAUUUGAAUUUUAAAAAUCUGAAAAACAUAAUUUGAAACUUAAAUAUUAUAAUUUUAAAUCGUUUUUUUAAAUUCAAAGUUUUAAAUUUCUAAAAUCUAAAAUUUCAAAAUUUAAAUUUUUGCUGAAGUUUUAAUAUUUCAAUCUGAAUUUUUAUGUUUAAAUUUAAAUUUAAAAUUUGACACGCGAUUUAAAUAUAUAUAUAUAUUUUUUUAGUUCUUCCCUCUCCGCCCCGCUUACCACACGCCGCCCCGCCCCGCUCCGCCUCCCUCCCGGCCUCGCUCCGCCGAUGUGUCAGUUUUCUCGGCGACGGGUUCUUCGGAACUCGU